UACGUAGGGGGCAAGCGUUGUCCGGAUUUAUUGGGCGUAAAGAGCGUGUAGGCGGCCAGGUAGGUCAGCUGUGAAAACUCGAGGCUCAACCUCGAGACGCCGGUUGAAACCAUCUGGCUAGAGUCCGGAAGAGGAGAGUGGAAUUCCUGGUGUAGCGGUGAAAUGCGCAGAUAUCAGGAAGAACACCCGUGGCUAAGGCGGCUCCCUAGUACGGUACUGACGCUGAGACGCGAAAGCGUGGGGAGCGAACAGG
This 253-nucleotide ribosomal RNA is filed under the name uncultured bacterium. Its description in RNAcentral is "partial 16S ribosomal RNA". It matches the Rfam family "Bacterial small subunit ribosomal RNA", at positions 524 to 776 of the family's 1533-position model. The record is from RNAcentral.